Non-coding RNA from Lupinus angustifolius (narrow-leaved blue lupine), 119 nucleotides. NCBI's taxonomy places the organism in Eukaryota, Viridiplantae, Streptophyta, Magnoliopsida, Fabales, Fabaceae. The record is from Rfam.
AGGUGCGAUCACACCAACACUAAUCCAUUGGAUCCCAUCGGAACUCUGCGGUAAAGCAUUCUUGGGCGAGAGUAGUACUAGAAUGGGUGACCUCCUAGGAAGUCCUCCUGUUGCACCUC